This 490-nucleotide ribosomal RNA is filed under the name uncultured bacterium. RNAcentral's name for it is "partial 16S ribosomal RNA". It matches the Rfam family "Bacterial small subunit ribosomal RNA", at positions 29 to 507 of the family's 1533-position model. The record is from RNAcentral.
AGUGAACGCUGGCGGUAGGCCUAACACAUGCAAGUCGAACGGCAGCACAGGAGAGCUUGCUCUCUGGGUGGCGAGUGGCGGACGGGUGAGGAAUACAUCGGAAUCUGCCCAGUCGUGGGGGAUAACGUAGGGAAACUUACGCUAAUACCGCAUACGACCUUCGGUUGAAAGAGGGGGAUCGCAAGACCUCUCGCGAUUGGAUGAGCCGAUGUCGGAUUAGCUAGUUGGCGGGGUAAUGGCCCACCAAGGCGACGAUCCGUAGCUGGUCUGAGAGGAUGAUCAGCCACACUGGAACUGAGACACGGUCCAGACUCCUACGGGAGGCAGCAGUGGAGAAUAUUGGACAAUGGGCGCAAGCCUAAUCCAGCCAUACCGCGUGGGUGAAGAAGGCCUUCGGGUUGUAAAGCCCUUUUGUUGGGAAAGAAAUCUUUCAGGCUAAUACCCUGGGAGGAUGACGGUACCCAAAGAAUAAGCACCGGCUAACUUCGUG